Molecule: ribosomal RNA, 519 nt
Filed under: uncultured bacterium
Lineage: Bacteria
Description: bacterial SSU rRNA
Rfam family: Bacterial small subunit ribosomal RNA
Source: RNAcentral
UAACUGGGCGUAAAGGGCACGCAGGCGGUGACUUAAGUGAGGUGUGAAAGCCCCGGGCUUAACCUGGGAAUUGCAUUUCAUACUGGGUCGCUAGAGUACUUUAGGGAGGGGUAGAAUUCCACGUGUAGCGGUGAAAUGCGUAGAGAUGUGGAGGAAUACCGAAGGCGAAGGCAGCCCCUUGGGAAUGUACUGACGCUCAUGUGCGAAAGCGUGGGGAGCAAACAGGAUUAGAUACCCUGGUAGUCCACGCUGUAAACGAUGUCGAUUUGGGGGUUGAGCUUUGAGCUUGGCGCCCGUAGCUAACGUGAUAAAUCGACCGCCUGGGGAGUACGGCCGCAAGGUUAAAACUCAAAUGAAUUGACGGGGGCCCGCACAAGCGGUGGAGCAUGUGGUUUAAUUCGAUGCAACGCGAAGAACCUUACCUACUCUUGACAUCCAGAGAACUUUCCAGAGAUGGAUUGGUGCCUUCGGGAACUCUGAGACAGGUGCUGCAUGGCUGUCGUCAGCUCGUGUCGUGAG